AGAGUUUGAUCAUGGCUCAGAGUGAACGCUGGCGGCAUGCCUAACACAUGCAAGUCGAACGGUAACAGGCCCGCAAGGGUGCUGACGAGUGGCGGACGGGUGAGGAAUACAUCGGAAUUUGCCCAGUCGUGGGGGAUAACGUAGGGAAACUUACGCUAAUACCGCAUACGACCGAGAGGUGAAAGCGGGGGAUCAGCAAUGACCUCGCGCGAGUGGAUGAGCCGAUGUCGGAUUAGCUAGUUGGUAGGGUAAAGGCCUACCAAGGCGACGAUCCGUAGCUGGUCUGAGAGGAUGAUCAGCCACACUGGGACUGAGACACGGCCCAGACUCCUACGGGAGGCAGCAGUGGGGAAUAUUGGACAAUGGGGGCAACCCUGAUCCAGCAAUGCCGCGUGUGUGAAGAAGGCCUUCGGGUUGUAAAGCACUUUUAUCCGGAACGAAACGCGCUUGGUGAAUAGCCAGGUGAACUGACGGUACCGGAGGAAUAAGCACCGGCUAACUUCGUGCCAGCAGCCGCGGUAAUACGAAGGGUGCAAGCGUUACUCGGAAUUACUGGGCGUAAAGCGUGCGUAGGUGGUUUGUUAAGUCCGUUGUGAAAGCCCAGGGCUCAACCUGGGAAUGGCAGUGGAUACUGGCGAGCUAGAGUGCGGUAGAGGGUAGUGGAAUUCCCGGUGUAGCAGUGAAAUGCGUAGAGAUGUGGCGGAACACCGAUGGCGAAGGCAGCCCCCUGGGCUGAGAUUGACGCUCAGGCACGAAAGCGUGGGGAGCAAACAGGAUUAGAUACCCUAGUAGUCC
Molecule: ribosomal RNA, 795 nt
Filed under: uncultured bacterium
Lineage: Bacteria
Description: bacterial SSU rRNA
Rfam family: Bacterial small subunit ribosomal RNA
Source: RNAcentral